Molecule: non-coding RNA, 75 nt
Organism: Euleptes europaea (tarantolino)
Lineage: Eukaryota; Metazoa; Chordata; Lepidosauria; Squamata; Sphaerodactylidae
Source: the annotation of a RefSeq genome assembly
GGAGAGGCUGUGGCUCAGUGGUAGAGCAUCUGCUUAACAUGCAGAAGGUCCCAGGUUCAACCCCUGGCAUUUCCA